This 305-nucleotide ribosomal RNA is filed under the name uncultured bacterium. RNAcentral describes it as "bacterial SSU rRNA". It matches the Rfam family "Bacterial small subunit ribosomal RNA", at positions 333 to 655 of the family's 1533-position model. The record is from RNAcentral.
UCGCCCCUACGGGGGGCAGCAGUAGGGAAUAUUGCUCAAUGGGGGAAACCCUGAAGCAGCAACGCCGCGUGGAGGAUGAAGGUUUUCGGAUUGUAAACUCCUUUUGUUAGAGAAGAUAAUGACGGUAUCUAACGAAUAAGCCACGGCUAACUACGUGCCAGCAGCCGCGGUAAUACGUAGGUGGCAAGCGUUGUCCGGAUUUACUGGGUGUAAAGGUCGUGUAGCCGGGCCGACAAGUCAGAUGUGAAAUCCGUGGGCUUAACCCGCGAACUGCAUUUGAAACUAUUGGUCUUGAGUACCGGAGG